RNAcentral lists this ribosomal RNA (2925 nucleotides) under Escherichia coli O145:H28 str. RM12581. RNAcentral's name for it is "bacterial LSU rRNA". It matches the Rfam family "Bacterial large subunit ribosomal RNA". RNAcentral also lists the same sequence under 1 other name. The record is from RNAcentral. Lineage: Bacteria; Pseudomonadati; Pseudomonadota; Gammaproteobacteria; Enterobacterales; Enterobacteriaceae.
GGUUAAGCGACUAAGCGUACACGGUGGAUGCCCUGGCAGUCAGAGGCGAUGAAGGACGUGCUAAUCUGCGAUAAGCGUCGGUAAGGUGAUAUGAACCGUUAUAACCGGCGAUUUCCGAAUGGGGAAACCCAGUGUGUUUCGACACACUAUCAUUAACUGAAUCCAUAGGUUAAUGAGGCGAACCGGGGGAACUGAAACAUCUAAGUACCCCGAGGAAAAGAAAUCAACCGAGAUUCCCCCAGUAGCGGCGAGCGAACGGGGAGCAGCCCAGAGCCUGAAUCAGUGUGUGUGUUAGUGGAAGCGUCUGGAAAGGCGCGCGAUACAGGGUGACAGCCCCGUACACAAAAAUGCACAUACUGUGAGCUCGAUGAGUAGGGCGGGACACGUGGUAUCCUGUCUGAAUAUGGGGGGACCAUCCUCCAAGGCUAAAUACUCCUGACUGACCGAUAGUGAACCAGUACCGUGAGGGAAAGGCGAAAAGAACCCCGGCGAGGGGAGUGAAAAAGAACCUGAAACCGUGUACGUACAAGCAGUGGGAGCACGCUUCGGCGUGUGACUGCGUACCUUUUGUAUAAUGGGUCAGCGACUUAUAUUCUGUAGCAAGGUUAACCGAAUAGGGGAGCCGAAGGGAAACCGAGUCUUAACUGGGCGUUAAGUUGCAGGGUAUAGACCCGAAACCCGGUGAUCUAGCCAUGGGCAGGUUGAAGGUUGGGUAACACUAACUGGAGGACCGAACCGACUAAUGUUGAAAAAUUAGCGGAUGACUUGUGGCUGGGGGUGAAAGGCCAAUCAAACCGGGAGAUAGCUGGUUCUCCCCGAAAGCUAUUUAGGUAGCGCCUCGUGAAUUCAUCUCCGGGGGUAGAGCACUGUUUCGGCAAGGGGGUCAUCCCGACUUACCAACCCGAUGCAAACUGCGAAUACCGGAGAAUGUUAUCACGGGAGACACACGGCGGGUGCUAACGUCCGUCGUGAAGAGGGAAACAACCCAGACCGCCAGCUAAGGUCCCAAAGUCAUGGUUAAGUGGGAAACGAUGUGGGAAGGCCCAGACAGCCAGGAUGUUGGCUUAGAAGCAGCCAUCAUUUAAAGAAAGCGUAAUAGCUCACUGGUCGAGUCGGCCUGCGCGGAAGAUGUAACGGGGCUAAACCAUGCACCGAAGCUGCGGCAGCGACACUAUGUGUUGUUGGGUAGGGGAGCGUUCUGUAAGCCUGUGAAGGUGUGCUGUGAGGCAUGCUGGAGGUAUCAGAAGUGCGAAUGCUGACAUAAGUAACGAUAAAGCGGGUGAAAAGCCCGCUCGCCGGAAGACCAAGGGUUCCUGUCCAACGUUAAUCGGGGCAGGGUGAGUCGACCCCUAAGGCGAGGCCGAAAGGCGUAGUCGAUGGGAAACAGGUUAAUAUUCCUGUACUUGGUGUUACUGCGAAGGGGGGACGGAGAAGGCUAUGUUGGCCGGGCGACGGUUGUCCCGGUUUAAGCGUGUAGGCUGGUUUUCCAGGCAAAUCCGGAAAAUCAAGGCUGAGGCGUGAUGACGAGGCACUACGGUGCUGAAGCAACAAAUGCCCUGCUUCCAGGAAAAGCCUCUAAGCAUCAGGUAACAUUAAAUCGUACCCCAAACCGACACAGGUGGUCAGGUAGAGAAUACCAAGGCGCUUGAGAGAACUCGGGUGAAGGAACUAGGCAAAAUGGUGCCGUAACUUCGGGAGAAGGCACGCUGAUAUGUAGGUGAAGUCCCUCGCGGAUGGAGCUGAAAUCAGUCGAAGAUACCAGCUGGCUGCAACUGUUUAUUAAAAACACAGCACUGUGCAAACACGAAAGUGGACGUAUACGGUGUGACGCCUGCCCGGUGCCGGAAGGUUAAUUGAUGGGGUUAGCGGUAACGCGAAGCUCUUGAUCGAAGCCCCGGUAAACGGCGGCCGUAACUAUAACGGUCCUAAGGUAGCGAAAUUCCUUGUCGGGUAAGUUCCGACCUGCACGAAUGGCGUAAUGAUGGCCAGGCUGUCUCCACCCGAGACUCAGUGAAAUUGAACUCGCUGUGAAGAUGCAGUGUACCCGCGGCAAGACGGAAAGACCCCGUGAACCUUUACUAUAGCUUGACACUGAACAUUGAGCCUUGAUGUGUAGGAUAGGUGGGAGGCUUUGAAGUGUGGACGCCAGUCUGCAUGGAGCCGACCUUGAAAUACCACCCUUUAAUGUUUGAUGUUCUAACGUUGACCCGUAAUCCGGGUUGCGGACAGUGUCUGGUGGGUAGUUUGACUGGGGCGGUCUCCUCCUAAAGAGUAACGGAGGAGCACGAAGGUUGGCUAAUCCUGGUCGGACAUCAGGAGGUUAGUGCAAUGGCAUAAGCCAGCUUGACUGCGAGCGUGACGGCGCGAGCAGGUGCGAAAGCAGGUCAUAGUGAUCCGGUGGUUCUGAAUGGAAGGGCCAUCGCUCAACGGAUAAAAGGUACUCCGGGGAUAACAGGCUGAUACCGCCCAAGAGUUCAUAUCGACGGCGGUGUUUGGCACCUCGAUGUCGGCUCAUCACAUCCUGGGGCUGAAGUAGGUCCCAAGGGUAUGGCUGUUCGCCAUUUAAAGUGGUACGCGAGCUGGGUUUAGAACGUCGUGAGACAGUUCGGUCCCUAUCUGCCGUGGGCGCUGGAGAACUGAGGGGGGCUGCUCCUAGUACGAGAGGACCGGAGUGGACGCAUCACUGGUGUUCGGGUUGUCAUGCCAAUGGCACUGCCCGGUAGCUAAAUGCGGAAGAGAUAAGUGCUGAAAGCAUCUAAGCACGAAACUUGCCCCGAGAUGAGUUCUCCCUGACUCCUUGAGAGUCCUGAAGGAACGUUGAAGACGACGACGUUGAUAGGCCGGGUGUGUAAGCGCAGCGAUGCGUUGAGCUAACCGGUACUAAUGAACCGUGAGGCUUAACCUUACAACGCCGAAGGUGUUUUG